Molecule: long non-coding RNA, 253 nt
Filed under: Elaeis guineensis (African oil palm)
Lineage: Eukaryota; Viridiplantae; Streptophyta; Magnoliopsida; Arecales; Arecaceae
Description: long non-coding RNA (EGUI_LNC016065)
Source: RNAcentral
UGGGAUAAGUUAAAGGCGAAUUCGAGGCGCGGGAUCUGACCAUGGCAAAAUAUUUUCAGAAGGUGAGAGAUCUCGUGGCACAUCUCAAGUAUUUCGAGAUCUCCCACAUUUUCAGAUCGGAGAAUGCUCGGAUCGAUGCACUCUCCAGACUCGCAACGUCCGCCUAUAGCACCCUGUGCCGGACACUCAUGGAGAGCCUCGAGCAACCGAGCAUCGACAGGGCCGAGGAGGCACUGCAACUGACGACCGAGCC